Molecule: ribosomal RNA, 274 nt
Filed under: uncultured bacterium
Lineage: Bacteria
Description: partial 16S ribosomal RNA
Rfam family: Bacterial small subunit ribosomal RNA
Source: RNAcentral
AUACGGAGGGGGCUAGCGUUGUUCGGAAUUACUGGGCGUAAAGCGCGCGUAGGCGGCGCAUUUAGUCGGGCGUGAAAGCCCGGGGCUCAACCCCGGAAUUGCGCUCGAUACUGAUGUGCUGGAGGACGGGAGAGGAGAGUGGAAUUCCAAGUGUAGAGGUGAAAUUCGUAGAUAUUUGGAGGAACACCAGUGGCGAAGGCGGCUCACUGGCUCGAUACUGACGCUGAGGUACGAAAGCGUGGGGAGCAAACAGGAUUAGAAACCCUAGUAGUCC